Molecule: long non-coding RNA, 1058 nt
Organism: Triticum dicoccoides
Lineage: Eukaryota; Viridiplantae; Streptophyta; Magnoliopsida; Poales; Poaceae
Exons: 2
Source: RefSeq, a predicted model, not a curated record
UCUCUUCUCCUCCUCUCCCCUUCCAGAUCCGCCCUCGCCGCCACCCGCCCCUCCCCUCGCUGUCCUCGAUCCAGAUCGCUCCUCCCUCCCUCCCCUCCGGCAUUACGACGCCCCGAAGCGUGCGUGCUCGCCGCGUGCUCGACGUGAGGAUAGCGCUCCCUACCUCUUCUCCACCUCGCGCCUCGCAGUCGUACUACCAACCAACCCCGGCCGACGCAACUCCAGUCACUCCCCGCCUCCCGCGAUGGUCGCCACGGCGAAGAUCCUGCAGCGGCAGCUCUUCAUCGAAUGGCGCUGCUGAACCAUCCCACGAGGGAGCUCCAGCAAGGCCGCUCGGGUGGUGCGUUGGACGGUCGCCGACCUCGCGUAACCCCGGUGCCGCACGGCUCCGAGCACCCGGCGACCUCGGCAUACCGCAGGAGCGGACCCGACCCACAGGCAAAGGGUGAUCGAGGAGAUGGGAAAGGCCUGGGCGAGUGGACCGGUCUGAUCGGUUAGGGUGGCGACCAAGGAGCUGAGGAUGUCGAGGAGGGCGGUGAACCCCGGCGGUCAUGGAAAGGCGGCUGGACAUGUGUAGGUGGAACAAAGAAACAAUGAGUUUCUGUGCGACAACUUUGAGGAUUGGAUUAUAACGUGAAUUGGUUUCUGAUACUCUGUCGCUCAAGUGUUAAUUCUAGUCUUGUUUGCUCACCAUUCGAUGACUUUUGCUAUUAUUAUAGUAGGGGCAAUCAGCAUGACUUCUUAUGUGUUUCUUUUGCUAUUAUUAUAGUAGGAGGUUGCUAUUUUUUAUUAGAACAAACAUGAAAUUGGUUGCUUUAUUAGGCAACUCAUUUUUUGUGCUAUUUCCUGGAGCUUCGAGUGAAGAGUAUGCUUGCAAUGCCUGCCUUUUUUGUGUGCUACUUUUUUGUGUGCUAUUCCCUAGUUUGGGAUUUUCUCCCAAUUCCUAGGCAUCUAGUUCCUAUACUAAUAUACUUGUACUGCUCAUGCUGCUGUUGCUAGUGGUCUUGUAGCACAGCACAUCACUUCUAGUUCCUAUACUAAUAUACUUGUACUGCUCA